CCUACGGGCGGCAGCAGUGGGGGAUAUUGCACAAUGGGGGGAACCCUGAUGCAGCGACGCCGCGUGGGUGAAGAAGCGCCUCGGCGCGUAAAGCCCUGUCAGCAGGGAAGAAAAUGACGGUACCUGAAGAAGAAGCCCCGGCUAACUACGUGCAAGCAGCCGCGGUAAUACGUAGGGGGCCAGCGUUAUACGGAUUUACUGGGUGUAAAGGGGGCGCAGACGGCGAUGCAAGCCAGGAGUGAAAGCCAGGGGCCCAACCCCGGGACUGCUCUUGGAAAUGCGUGGCUGGAGUGCAGGGGGGGCAGGCGGAAUUCCGGGUGUAGCGGUGGAAUGCGUAGGUAUCAGGAGGAAAACCGGUGGCUAAGGCGACCUGCUGGACUGCAACUGACGUUGAGGCCCGAAAGCGUGGGGAGCAAACAGGAUUAGAUACCCCUGUAGUC
Molecule: ribosomal RNA, 440 nt
Filed under: uncultured bacterium
Lineage: Bacteria
Description: partial 16S ribosomal RNA
Rfam family: Bacterial small subunit ribosomal RNA
Source: RNAcentral